This is a long non-coding RNA of Ostrea edulis (European flat oyster), 7360 nucleotides long. RefSeq lists it as uncharacterized. The transcript has 2 exons. Lineage: Eukaryota; Metazoa; Mollusca; Bivalvia; Ostreida; Ostreidae. The record is from RefSeq and is a predicted model, not a curated record.
GGGAAAGUCAGAGUGGACUCCACAUUGAAAAGUGGGAAUUCAGUGACACCAGCUAGUGUGUAUGCUGCACAUAUCCAUAAAACUAAAUAGAAAUAACCCCAAAAAUAAUAAACAUUUAUUAACUACAUGUAAAUACCGAUUAUAUCGAUCAUUGAUCAAAACAGAUUUUCCGAUUAUAACCGAUUAUCGAUUAUGAAAUUUUCCCGAUUUUUCAACACUAGUUGAAAGCCUGUCUUAGAGACAUUUUGAAAUAAUUGCUUAAAUUCCCAACAAUGUUUACCUGUACUACAUCCCAUGCCGAAAUGACUUGCACGGUCUGUACGUUUCUAUGGGCGUGGUUUGAACAAUGUGCACGUGUCUAUGGGCGUGGCUUGAUCAUGCACAGAACGAUUCUUGCACGAAACAAUUUGCCAGGACGCUGAACAGUCUGCACGAAAUGCUGAACGGUCUGCAUGGAAUGGUGAACGGUCUGCAUGGAAUGGUGAACUGUCUGCACGGAACGGUGAACGGUUUGCACUGACCGAAACGCUUUGGAGGUGUAGUAGCACGCUUCAGGGUCUGUACAAUGGAAAUUUUAUUCUAAAUCACGUAGAAUAGCAUAGAUUUACCCAAAAACACCCAAGAAUACCCAAAAACACCCCAAAACACCAAAAAAUAUCAUAGAACAGCACAGUAAACAACCAAUAUUGUUCAUAUAUUAAAGAAAAAUUAAAAUUUUGUGUAUGAUUCACUUUAAAGGUGAAAGACUUGCAUACUGCGACAUCUGCAAAGGUCUCAAUUGUUAGCAAAGCACUGUCUGACUGAGGCAAAGUAUACUUAUGUAAGCCCUGUAUAUAUCGCAGGCCAACCUGCAGCGAGUCUUCAAAAAUACGUUUUGCCUCAUUUUUUCCUGUGUGACGAAAUAGAAACAUAUAAAAUUUUUAAUUCAUUGCAAUUUUACUUUUAACGAAUCAUAACGAGAAAUUGGGAGUGGGAGUUUAAUAUACCAAUUGCGUUCACAGUGAUUUUUAUGCCCCGAGAUCGAAGAUCAUAUUGUUUUUGUCCUGUCUGUCAUUCUGUCUGAAACUUUAACCUUGCUAAUAACUUUUGAACAGUAAGUGAUAGAGCUUUGAUAUUUCACAUGAGUGUUCCAUGUGACAAGACCUUUCCGUGGGUACCAAUAUUUUUGACCCUGUGACCUUGACCUUGGAGUAUGACCUACUUUUUGAAAACUUUAACCUUGCUAAUAACUUUUGAACAAUAAGUGAUAGAGCUUUGAUAUUUCACAUGAAUGUUCCAUGUGACAAGACCUUUCCGUGGGUACCAAUAUUUUUGACCCUGUGACCUUGACCUUGGAGUAUGACCUACUUUUUGAAAACUUUAACCUUGCUAAUAACUUUUGAACAGUAAGUGAUAGAGAUUUGAUAUUUCACAUGAAUGUUCCAUGUGACAAGACCUUUCCGUGAGUACCAAUAUUUUUUAUCCUGUGACCUUGACCUUGGAGUAUGACCUACUUUUUGAAAACUUUAACCUUGCUAAUAACUUUUGAACAAUAAGUGUUAGUAGAGCUGUGAUAUUUCACAUGAGUGUUCCUUGUAACAAGACCUUUCCGUUGGUAUUAAACCUUUUGACCUUGACAUUUAACUUACUUUUAAUUUUUUUUAAAAUUGGUCAUAACUUGUAAAUGGUAAAUAUUAGAGCUUUCAUAUUAUACAUGAGCAUUUCUUUUGACAAGAUCUUUCUACUGGUACCAAGAUAUUUGCCCUUGUGACCUUGGCCAUCUGUGGAAUUGGCCAUUAUCGGGGGCAUUUGUUUUUCACAAACACAUCUUGUUUAACGCCCAUUUUUGGUCCAAAUUUCGACCGUUUCCCCUCUUAAAAAAUGCCAAUUUUUUCCAAUAAUAAAAUUAUGAAAGGAAAACGUAUUUGAAAAAAAUAAACAUUCGAUGUGAAUUAUAUACAUAAGACUUAACAAAGAGUUAUGGGAAUGAUGAUUUGGAUAGAAUAGUUGAAAAUUUUAGAAGGUUAAAGAAAAUUAAAUGUGUAAAAUGUUUGAUAUGAUUUUAAAACUUAUUUACGAUAAAAUUGAUUUUUCCCAAUUUGACUGAAAUGUCGACAAUUUUUCCAAAUUCAAAAGCCACAGGACCCUUGUAAAAAAUGUAGAAAAGUCACUGGUUCAUAAUUGCAUCUUCCUCUUCAACUUAUCCUCUAUCCUUGAAAACAAUUCUGCAACUACUGUCCUCUAUAUUCUUUUAGGAAUUGGUACAUGUAGAUGUUCCUGACCCCCCCACCCCCAUUGGCCCACACUUUAAUCAUUAAAUAUCACAGAGAAUGAUGAAAUUAUGAAACUCAUGUAUAAAGAUUUUCCAUCAACGGUCAUCAGCGCUCUGAAUUCAAAGCAGCAAAGGCGAAACUUGAUGUCCAAGUGUAAGUUUUAUAAAAAUUAAGAACAUUCUUUGUUUUAUAAGGAAUAAAUAUGAGUGAUUUUACCUUCACUCUGUGCUCAGUUACAGUGUGGUGUUCAGCAGGGGAGCUGCUUAGGUCCAUGGUUGUACCUUACGUGUGCGGGUGCAUUGUUCGACGUUAUUCCUCCGACAAUGUCAGUCUAUGGAUUCGCGAAUGAUCAUACUGCAAAUAAACGGUUUAACCCUACCUCCAUUCACAACGAAACCAAAGCCAUCCGAGAACUUGAAAAAUGUGCUGAAAUCAUUAACGAUUGGAUGAAUGCAAAUAAACUGAAAAUGAACACAUCAAAGACCAAAUUCAUUUUAUUUGGCAGCAGGAGGUAACUGGAUAAAUGUAGCACAAAAGUUAUUAACAUUAAUAGUGAUGAAAUUGAACCAGAACAUUAUAUAAGAUACUUAGGUGCAUAUUUGGAUGAAACUUUCAAUUAUAAGGAACAUAUAAAAAGGAAAUGCCGAACAGCUAUGAUCAAUUAUCUUGGGAUUAAAAGUAUUUGCAAAUAUUUGACAAAGGAAGCUACAGAAAUUUUGGUUUUAUCUUUAGUAAUUUCUCAUUUGGACUAUUGUAAAGUGAUUUUAUAUCGCAUAGCACAGACUAAAUCCAAAACAUGGGUGCGAAACUGGUAUUAAAUCGAAACUUGUAAAUCAUAAGAAAUUUUACACUAGCUCUAGGGAUGCUCUCAUUGGCCUACACUGGUUACCUAUCGAUUCUAGGAUAUCAUUUAAAUCACUGACCUUCAUGUAUAAUUGUCAUGUGGUCGAAGCGCCAUUGUAUUUAACAGAACUUUUAACGAAACAGGUAACAAAUAAAAAGUUGCGCUCCGCUCAAUCUUCUGAGAGUUGCUACAUUGUUCCUUUUAAAAAGUGUAAAACUUUCAGUGAUAGAAGUUUCGGAACCAUUGGUCUGAUACUGUGGAACAGUUUACCGGCUGAAAUAAGACAGUCCAAAUCUUUACAUACUUUCAAAGCCAAAUUGAAAACACAUUUGUUUAGACAGUUUUAAUGUACAUGUUUUUAGUUUAGUAUAUGUAGAGUGUGUUUGCAUGUAUAUGAUGUAUUGUUUAUUCUUUUAAAGCUUUUUAGGUCACCUGAGUUUCCUAUUGCAAUUGGUUUUCGUCCAUCGUCGUGCGUUAACAAUUGAACAUUUUUAACUUCUUCUUGAUAACUACCAUUCCAAUUCUUUUCAAAUUCAGUAUGAAGCAUCAUUGGGACAAGGGGGACAUAAAUUGUAAAUUUCAGGACUCCAGCACCCCUGGGGCCUUAGGGGCUGGGCAAAAACUGCCCAAAAUUGACCAGUUUUCAAAAAUCUUCUUCUCAAGAACCACACACGUGUAAGAAAAACUAAAUGCAUGGUGAUGUAGAGCAGGAAGGUCUCUACCGAAGUUGUAAAUUUCAUGAUCCCUGGGGUAGGGGUUCUGACCCCAGCGCGGGGCCAAACUUGGUAUAUAGUGUUUAUGUGUAAAACACUUAAAUAUCUUCUUUAGUGCUAUUGAUACUAAAUUGAAAGUAAAUAGAUAUUUAGAAAGAACAGGUAGUCCUUUACCAAAAUUGUAAAUUUGAUGAUCCCAGGGGUAGGGGUUUUGGUAUCGGGGUGGGUCCAAAAUGGUCAGUUAUCCAAUGUGUGAACAAUAGACAUUUUUAGGUCACCUGAGUAAACUCAGGUGAGCUAUUGCAAUUGGUUUUCGUCCGUCGUCAUGGGACGUGCGUCGUGCAUUAACAAUUGAACAUUUGUAACUUCUUCUUAAUAACUACCAGUCCGAUUCUUUUCAAAUUUAGUAUGAAGCAUCAUUGGGACAAGGGGGACAUAAAUUAUAAAUUUCAGGACUCUAGCACCCCUGGGGCCCUAGGGGCAGGGCAAAAACUGCCCAAAAUUGACCAAUUUUCAAAAAUCUUCUUCUGUAGAACCACACACAUGUAAGAAAAACUAAAUGCAUAGUAAUGUAGAGCAGGAAGGCCUCUACCAAAAUUGUAAAUUUCAUGUUCCUGGGGUAGGGGUUCUGACCCCAGGGCGGGACCAAACUUGUUAUAUAGUGUUUAUGUGUAAAACACUUAAAUAACAUCUUCUUUAGUGCUAUUGAUACUAAAUUGAAAGUAAAUGGAUAGCCCAUGGAAGUAGUGAUAGUUUUUUACUAGUAUUCAGGUGAUCGAUAAGGCCUGUGGGCCUCUUGUUAACUUCUUGAUAACUAUCAUUCCAAUUCUUUUCAAAUCUGGUAUGAAACAUAUUGGAACAAGGGGAACAUAAAUUAUAAAUUUCAGGAUUCCUGCACCCCUGGGACCUUAGGGGCGGGGCAAAAACUGCCCAAAAUUGAUCAGUUUUCAGAAAUUUUCUUCUCUAGAACUGCACAUGUGUAAGAAAAACUAAAUGCAUAGUGAUGUAGAGCAGGAAGUCCUUUACCAAAAUUGUAAAUUUCAUGAUCCCCGGGGUAGGAGUUCUGACCCCAGCGCGGGGCCAAACUUGUCACAUAGUGUUAAUGUGUAAAACACUUAAAUAACAUCUUUUGUUCUAUUGAUACUAAAUUGAAAGUAAAUAGAUAUUUAGAAAGAACAGGUAAUCCUUUACCAAAAUUGUAAAUUUGAUGGUCCCAGGGGUAGGCGUUUUGGUAUCGGGGUGGGUCCAAAAUGGUCAGUUAUCAAAUAUGUGAACAAUAGACAUUUUUAACUUUUUCUUGAUAACUAUAAUUCCAAUUCUUUUCACAUCUGAUAUGAAACAUAUUUGGAACAAGGGGGACGUAAAUUGUAAAUUUCAGGAUUCCUGCACCCCUGAGGCCUUAGGGGUGGGGCAAAAACUGCCCAAAAUUGACCAAUUUUCUGAUCAAAAUUUGUCCGUUGUCUGUUGGCGGCGGCGGCAGCUCAUAAACUUUUCCCAUUUUUUACUUCUUCUCAAGAACUGCUGGGCCAAUUUCAACCAAACUUGCCACAAAGCAUCCUGGGUCCAAAAUGGUCAGUUAUCAAAUGUGUGAACAAUAGACAUUUUUAACUUUUUCUUGAUAACUAAAAUUCUAAUUCUUUUCACAUCUGGUAUGAAACAUAUUUGGAACAAGGGGGACGUAAAUUGUAAAUUUCAGGAUUCCUGCACCCCUGGGGCCUUAGAGGUGGGGCAAGAACUGCCCAAAAUUGACCAAUUUUCUGAUCAAAAUUUGUCCGUUGUCUGUCGGCGGCGGCAUCAUAAACUUUUCCCAUUUUUUUUCUUCUUCUCAAGAACUGCUGGGCCAAUUUCAACCAAACUUGCCACAAAACAUCCUUGGGUGAAAGGCUUUCAAGUUUGUUCAAAUGAAGGGCCAUGUCCCUUUCAAAGGGGAGAUAAUCACAAAAAUGCAAAAAAAGGGUGGGGUCAUUUAAAAAUCUUCUGAAGAACCAUUGGCCCAAAAAAGCUACAUGAAAGCUUCCUGACAUAGUGCAGAUUCAAGUUUGUUCAAAUCAUGGCCCCCAGAAGUUGGAUGGAGCCACAAUAGGGGAUCAAAGUUUUACAUACUAAUAUAUAGGAAAAGUCUUUAAAAAUCUUCUUCUCAAGAACCACUGAGCCAGAAAAGCUGAUAUUUACAUGAAAGCUUUCUGACAUAUUUCAGAUUUCAGUUUGUUCAAAUCAUGGCCCCCAAGGGUAGGAUGGGGUCACAAGGGGAGGGGGGAUCAAAGUUUUGCAUACAAAUAUAUGGGGGAAAUCUUUAAAUAUGAGCCAAGGUGACACAGGUGAGCGAUGUGGCCCUUGGGCCUCUUGUUUAUCAUUCCAGGAUAAAUCACAAAAAAUCAUAUAAAAUAAUAGAGAUCUUGUAUCAAUAAUCACUAUUUUGAUGGUGAAAUCAUACUUCAUGAGGUGUUUUAACAAGCCAUUAAAUAAAAAUUUAGGGGAAUGAGCUAUCUUAAAAGAUUUUUAAGCUAAGGCCAAUUCAACUUGAUUGAUAGAUUAUCAUCCCUGCCCGCCCCUAAAAAAUCAGCCUGCCCCAAAUUUUUUUAUUUUGCAAAACUUGCGAUUUCUAGAAAAUUUUCAUGUUCGACUCCGGUAUUUACAUUUCUUGUUUACAUUUCCAGUAUAGCAACGUGAAAAGCCAUGUGAACGGUGAAGAAAAUAGGUAUCCCAUCAUAUGGUUUUCUUAAUUUCUCGUCUUCUUACGUGCGUAAAUGAAAGGAAGGGAUUAAAUGUUCUUCAUAUAUUGGAGAAAUUUGAUAUCUUUUUGUGUUUGAAAUUAAAGCUUAAAGCUGUAUGGUCCGAAUUACAAUAUUUUUUUCCAUCUCGUAAAAACGCUAUUAAAUCAUUGCACGUAUGUAGUUAUGAGACUGUACGUCAUAUCAUAGAUUAUUUCACCUGUUUUAACCCAAAUAAUUUGAUUUUAAAUCGAUGUUUACAAAUAACUGCGUCAGACUGCCAGUUCAAGUGACAGUCACGUGACCAGUUCAAACUUUCAGAUCAUCGGUGGUCUUAUCUGUGUAAAGCUGUAUAUUUUGUUAUAACAGUACCGUACCAUAAGUUUAAUAGAAAUAAAAAUAUCAAAUACCUCUUAGUAAUUCGUUGUUUUAUGCUCUUUCGGCCUUAAAACUAGACAGUUGCGUACGAGUUAAUACAUCAUGUUGGGAUUCCCCUGACGCGCGUGGGUCUAUUUAUAGACGUCUGUUAUGGGAUGAUUUAUAUAUGUAGCCACUAUAUUUACUUUCUAAAUAAUAUUCGCACUGUUUUUUUUUACAUGCAGAUGUUUUCAAGCAUGUAAUUAAGGGAAAGUUAAAAACUUUAUAAAGUAAUUAAUCUGCUUUAAAGUAAUUAUGUACAAAAAUAAUACAUGAACAUCGGGUCAUACAGCUUUAACCUGGAAUUCGUCAGUGAAAUAAGCGUAGAUUGAUAUCCAUCUGGCAUUAAAUGAUGCACUUCUGUUGACAAAAACUUGUUUGUCAUUAAUAUUUUUAUCAGAAAAUAAAAAUAAAAAAAUAAAA